Molecule: long non-coding RNA, 537 nt
Organism: Megalobrama amblycephala (Wuchang bream)
Lineage: Eukaryota; Metazoa; Chordata; Actinopteri; Cypriniformes; Xenocyprididae
Exons: 4
Source: RefSeq, a predicted model, not a curated record
AUCACCUUGGAUUUGUGUGUGUGUAUUUUUAAGACUUCCCUGGCAGCACACACACCUCCCACCCGGGUCAUUCGUACUCUUCAGGCAAUCAGAUUGAAGCUUAUCAAUCGACCAAUCAUUGUCACGUGAGGGCGUGCCUACCUGGGUGUUAAAUUAUCAGCUUUCGACCAGUUCAAGUCCUGCAGAGAAGAGAAGCUCUAAAUGCACCUGCUUGAUCAGACAGGAAAGGAGAAUCCACCACGUGAGCACCAGAUCCAUUAUGAAACUGAGUUACCCGUACCCUGACUGACAGCUCUUGGGCCUGUGGCAGAAUAGGAGGAAAUACCCUUGACAGAUCAGCAAGCUGCAGCAAGGAAAGGGGCCUGACCUCAAUCCCACCACUUGAAGAGAGCGAAAGAAAGAGUAAUGCAUGCCAGUUGCUACAUCAGCUGCAAACUGCAAGAGCUGCUGGGAGGUGAGCGUGGAGGCAGUUCCGUGCUCCUUGGCAAAGGCAGGAUCAGUCUCUAGAACACGACUCUUCCUCAGAAAGUCCAAAAG